This 468-nucleotide ribosomal RNA is filed under the name uncultured bacterium. RNAcentral describes it as "partial 16S ribosomal RNA". It matches the Rfam family "Bacterial small subunit ribosomal RNA", at positions 28 to 507 of the family's 1533-position model. The record is from RNAcentral.
GACGAACGCUGGCGGCGUGCUUAACACAUGCAAGUCGAACGAAAAGGCCCUGCGUUUGUGGGGUUCUCGAUUGGCGAACGCGUGAGUAACACGUGAGUAACCUGCCCUUGACUUUGGGGUAACUUCAGGAAACUGGGGCUAAUACCGGAUAUGAGCUCCUGCUGCAUGGGGUGGGAUGGAAAGUUUCGGCGGUGGGGGAUGGACUGGCGGCUUAUGAGCUGGUUGGUGGAGUAGUGGCUUACCAAGGCUUUGACGGGUAGCCGGCCUGAGAGGGUGAACGGGCACAUUGGGCCUGAGAUAGGGCGCAGAAGCGUAUGGGAGGCAGCAGUGGGGAAUAUUGCACAAUGGCGGGAAGUCUGAGGAAGAAACGCCGCGUGCGGGAUGCCGGCCUUCGGGUUGUAAACAGAUUUCGACUGUGCCGAAGAGUGAGUGACGGUACUGGGUAAAGAAGCACCGGCUAACUACGUG